Molecule: ribosomal RNA, 478 nt
Filed under: uncultured bacterium
Lineage: Bacteria
Description: partial 16S ribosomal RNA
Rfam family: Bacterial small subunit ribosomal RNA
Source: RNAcentral
GACGAACGCUGGCGGCGUGCUUAACACAUGCAAGUCGAACGGUAAGGCCCUUCGGGGUACACGAGUGGCGAACGGGUGAGUAACACGUGGGUGAUCUGCCCUGCACUUCGGGAUAAGCCUGGGAAACUGGGUCUAAUACCGGAUAGGACUCCUGCCUGCAUGGGUGGGGGUGGAAAGCUUUUGCGGUGUGGGAUGGGCCCGCUGCCUAUCAGCUUGUUGGUGGGGUGAUGGCCUACCAAGGCAACGACGGGUAGCCGGCCUGAGAGGGUGACCGGCCACACUGGGACUGAGAUACGGCCCAGACUCCUACGGGAGGCAGCAGUGGGGAAUAUUGCACAAUGGGCGCAAGCCUGAUGCAGCGACGCCGCGUGAGGGAUGACGGCCUUCGGGUUGUAAACCUCUUUCAGCACAGACGAAGCGCAAGUGACGGUAUGUGCAGAAGAAGGACCGGCCAACUACGUGCCAGCAGCCGCUGUAA